CGCGUCCGUAGCUCAGCUGGAUAGAGUACCUGGCUACGAACCAGGCGGUCAGAGGUUCGAAUCCUCUCGGACGCGNCC
This 78-nucleotide transfer RNA is filed under the name Vibrio vulnificus. Its description in RNAcentral is "tRNA-Arg". It matches the Rfam family "tRNA". Rfam says of the family: Transfer RNA (tRNA) molecules are approximately 80 nucleotides in length. The record is from RNAcentral. Lineage: Bacteria; Pseudomonadati; Pseudomonadota; Gammaproteobacteria; Vibrionales; Vibrionaceae.